GGCGCGGUGGCCUAAUGGUUAUCGCGUUGGACUCCAGAUCGAGCUGUCCGGGUUCGAUCCCUGGCCGUGAUG
Molecule: non-coding RNA, 72 nt
Organism: Desmophyllum pertusum
Lineage: Eukaryota; Metazoa; Cnidaria; Anthozoa; Scleractinia; Caryophylliidae
Source: the annotation of a GenBank genome assembly